UGUACGACGAUUGCAGUGUGAAGCCAAACCAGAUAUUCAUACCCAAAGCGGCUUUUCAGGGAUCUAUUUGUUUGACGGUUGGGAGAAAUCUAUAUUUCUGUAACUUUCACGUAUCAUAUGCUCGAAGAUUUUCUCAUUAAAAACAACUCUUUCGAUUCUUUUGUGCACUCAAAACAAUUUGUUUCUAAUGUUAUAUAUUUGCAGGUUAUUAGUUGCAUAUGCACUUUGAUUGGACAUUCUUGAAGUAUCAGCAGUUUUGACUCCAACUCCAACUCCAGCUCCAGCUCCAAACCAAGAGCUUCCAUUAGAAAGACCUCGGUGACAUACACACGUCCCAACUGCAAAAGUUGGAAGACACAGCUACACAUCUCAUGGAUACGUUCAAACAUGCUAUUUGCGUUUAAAAAGUGAUUUUUAUAGCUUCGAUGUUGUGAUCUACGCCAAACUAUUGAGAGGAACAAGCGAGCCACUGAAUUGGGUGAAAUAGUAUGCUUCUGAUAGUCCACGCUUCAGCAUGAUCAUUGACAGCCUAUGCAACAACAUCCAGUGCUGUAGGGAAAGGAGUUAUUUUUAUUUCUUAAAUAGAGCAAUAAAGAGAAGCCUAUGGUGGAGACUGUAGUGAAAAGAUUAAUGAAGAUUAUCAAAACAAACGAUAUAUUUUUCUCUAGGUUACGUCAAAAUUAAUUUGAAAACUAAUUUUAUAA
Molecule: long non-coding RNA, 704 nt
Organism: Brassica oleracea var. oleracea
Lineage: Eukaryota; Viridiplantae; Streptophyta; Magnoliopsida; Brassicales; Brassicaceae
Exons: 3
Source: RefSeq, a predicted model, not a curated record